RNAcentral lists this ribosomal RNA (468 nucleotides) under uncultured bacterium. RNAcentral describes it as "partial 16S ribosomal RNA". It matches the Rfam family "Bacterial small subunit ribosomal RNA", at positions 28 to 507 of the family's 1533-position model. The record is from RNAcentral.
GACGAACGCUGGCGGCGUGCUUAACACAUGCAAGUCGAACGGAAAGGCCCUGCUUUUGUGGGGUGCUCGAGUGGCGAACGGGUGAGUAACACGUGAGUAACCUGCCCUUGACUUUGUGAUAACUUCAGGAAACUGGGGCUAAUACCGGAUAGGAGCUCCUGCUGCAUGGGGGGGGUUGGAAAGUUUCGGCGGUUGGGGAUGGACUCGCGGCUUAUCAGCUUGUUGGUGGGGUAGUGGCUUACCAAGGCUUUGACGGGUAGCCGGCCUGAGAGGGUGACCGGCCACAUUGGGACUGAGAUACGACCCAGACUCCUACGGGAGGCAGCAGUGGGGAAUAUUGCACAAUGGGCGGAAGCCUGAUGCAGCAACGCCGCGUGCGGGAUGACGGCCUUCGGGGUGUAAACCGCUUUCGCCUGUGACGAAGCGUGAGUGACGGUAAUGGGUAAAGAAGCACCGGCUAACUACGUG